UGUUACAAUGGGGGGUACAGAAGGCAGCUACCUGGUGACAGGAUGCUAAUCCCAAAAGCCUCUCUCAGUUCGGAUCGAAGUCUGCAACCCGACUUCGUGAAGCUGGAUUCGCUAGUAAUCGCGCAUCAGCCAUGGCGCGGUGAAUACGUUCCCGGGCCUUGUACACACCGCCCGUCAAGCCAUGAAAGCCGGGGGUACCUGAAGUACGUAACCGCAAGGAGCGUCCUAGGGUAAAACUGGUAAUUGGGGCUAAGUCGUAACAAGGUACC
RNAcentral lists this ribosomal RNA (269 nucleotides) under uncultured bacterium. RNAcentral's name for it is "partial 16S ribosomal RNA". It matches the Rfam family "Bacterial small subunit ribosomal RNA", at positions 1223 to 1500 of the family's 1533-position model. The record is from RNAcentral.